UGAAUUUUAAGCAUAUAAUUAAGCGGAGGAAAAGAAACUAACUAGGAUUCCCUCAGUAAGGGCGACUGAAGCGGGAAGAGCUCCAUUUGUGAAUCAGCGCUUGCGCCGAAUUGUGGUUGUGUGUACGUACUGUGACUCUUGCCAAGUCCCUUGGAACAGGGCAGCAGAGAGGGUGAGACUCCCGUUCGCUUGAUGUCAAAAAGGUGCACUACAAAAUGAGAGUCGAGUUGUUUGGGAUUGCAGCUCUAAGCGGGUGGUAAAUUCCAUCGAAAGCUAAAUAUUGGUGGGAGACCGAUAGCGUACAAGUACCGUGAGGGAAAGAUGCAAAGAACUUUGAAAAGAGAGUUAAAGAGUACCUGAAAUUGCUGAAAGGGAAGCGAAGGAAACCAGUGUCAUCCCCGUUAUAUUUCUUCACCCGCUUGCGGUUGGAGCGCUGUGACUGGAUUGGUCAUCCUUGUUUGAUCGCGUUGGAAACGGUUUUCUGUGGCAACGCUUUUGACUGAGGUUGGCGAAAUGGUUUUCUUUACCCCGUCUUGAAACACGGACCAAGGA
Molecule: ribosomal RNA, 552 nt
Rfam family: Eukaryotic large subunit ribosomal RNA